Molecule: ribosomal RNA, 1541 nt
Filed under: Halomonas sp. JS92-SW72
Lineage: Bacteria; Pseudomonadati; Pseudomonadota; Gammaproteobacteria; Oceanospirillales; Halomonadaceae
Description: bacterial SSU rRNA
Rfam family: Bacterial small subunit ribosomal RNA
Source: RNAcentral
AAACUGAAGAGUUUGAUCAUGGCUCAGAUUGAACGCUGGCGGCAGGCCUAACACAUGCAAGUCGAGCGGCAGCACGGGAAGCUUGCUUCCUGGUGGCGAGCGGCGGACGGGUGAGUAAUGCAUAGAAAUCUGCCCGGUAGUGGGGGAUAACCUGGGGAAACCCAGGCUAAUACCGCAUACGUCCUACGGGAGAAAGCAGGGGCUCUUCGGACCUUGCGCUAUCGGAUGAGUCUAUGUCGGAUUAGCUUGUUGGUGAGGUAAUGGCUCACCAAGGCGACGAUCCGUAGCUGGUCUGAGAGGAUGAUCAGCCACAUCGGGACUGAGACACGGCCCGAACUCCUACGGGAGGCAGCAGUGGGGAAUAUUGGACAAUGGGCGAAAGCCUGAUCCAGCCAUGCCGCGUGUGUGAAGAAGGCCUUCGGGUUGUAAAGCACUUUCAGUGGGGAAGAAAGCCUUGGGGCUAAUACCCUCGAGGAAGGACAUCACCCACAGAAGAAGCACCGGCUAACUCCGUGCCAGCAGCCGCGGUAAUACGGAGGGUGCGAGCGUUAAUCGGAAUUACUGGGCGUAAAGCGCGCGUAGGCGGUCUGAUAAGCCGGUUGUGAAAGCCCCGGGCUCAACCUGGGAACGGCAUCCGGAACUGUCAGGCUAGAGUGCAGGAGAGGAAGGUAGAAUUCCCGGUGUAGCGGUGAAAUGCGUAGAGAUCGGGAGGAAUACCAGUGGCGAAGGCGGCCUUCUGGACUGACACUGACGCUGAGGUGCGAAAGCGUGGGUAGCAAACAGGAUUAGAUACCCUGGUAGUCCACGCCGUAAACGAUGUCGACUAGCCGUUGGGCUCCUUGAGAGCUUUGUGGCGCAGUUAACGCGAUAAGUCGACCGCCUGGGGAGUACGGCCGCAAGGUUAAAACUCAAAUGAAUUGACGGGGGCCCGCACAAGCGGUGGAGCAUGUGGUUUAAUUCGAUGCAACGCGAAGAACCUUACCUACCCUUGACAUCGUGCGAACUUUCCAGAGAUGGAUUGGUGCCUUCGGGAACGCACAGACAGGUGCUGCAUGGCUGUCGUCAGCUCGUGUUGUGAAAUGUUGGGUUAAGUCCCGUAACGAGCGCAACCCUUGUCCUUAUUUGCCAGCGCGUAAUGGCGGGAACUCUAAGGAGACUGCCGGUGACAAACCGGAGGAAGGUGGGGACGACGUCAAGUCAUCAUGGCCCUUACGGGUAGGGCUACACACGUGCUACAAUGGCCGGUACAAAGGGUUGCGAAGCCGCGAGGUGGAGCUAAUCCCGAAAAGCUGGUCUCAGUCCGGAUCGGAGUCUGCAACUCGACUCCGUGAAGUCGGAAUCGCUAGUAAUCGUGAAUCAGAAUGUCACGGUGAAUACGUUCCCGGGCCUUGUACACACCGCCCGUCACACCAUGGGAGUGGACUGCACCAGAAGUGGGUAGCCUAACUUAGGAGGGCGAUCACCACGGUGUGGUUCAUGACUGGGGGGAAGUCGGAACAAGGUAGCCGUAGGGGAACCUGCGGCUGGAUCACCUCCUUAUC